RNAcentral lists this transfer RNA (87 nucleotides) under Planctomycetota bacterium. Its description in RNAcentral is "tRNA-Ser". It matches the Rfam family "tRNA". Rfam says of the family: Transfer RNA (tRNA) molecules are approximately 80 nucleotides in length. Their secondary structure includes four short double-helical elements and three loops (D, anti-codon, and T loops). The record is from RNAcentral. Lineage: Bacteria; Pseudomonadati; Planctomycetota.
GGAGGAGUGGCCGAGCGGCUGAAGGCGACGGUCUUGAAAACCGUUAGGCGAGUAAUCGUCUCGGGGGUUCGAAUCCCUCCUCCUCCG